Molecule: ribosomal RNA, 497 nt
Filed under: uncultured bacterium
Lineage: Bacteria
Description: partial 16S ribosomal RNA
Rfam family: Bacterial small subunit ribosomal RNA
Source: RNAcentral
GAUGAACGCUGGCGGCGUGCCUAAUACAUGCAAGUCGAGCGAACAGAUGAGGAGCUUGCUCCUCUGACGUUAGCGGCGGACGGGUGAGUAACACGUGGAUAACCUACCUAUCAGACUGGGAUAACUUCGGGAAACCGGAGCUAAUACCGGAUAAUAUAUUGCACCGCAUGGUUCAAUAGUGAAAGACGGUUUUGCUGUCACUUCUAGAUGGAUACGCGCCGCAUUAGCUAGUUGGUAAGGUAACGGCUUACCAAGGCAACGAUGCGUAGCCGACCUGUGAGGGUGGUCGGCCACACUGGAGGUGAGACACGGUCCAGACUCCUACGGUAGGCAGCAGUAGGGAAUCUUACGCAAUGGGCGAAAGCCUUGCGGAGCAACGCCGCGUGAGUGAUGACGGUCUUCGGAUCGUAAAACUCUGUUAUUAGGGAAGAACAAAUGUGUAAGUAACUAUGCACGUCUUGACGGUAACUAAUCAGAAAGCCACGGCUAACUACGUG